GUGCCAGCGCCGCGGUAAUACCGGCGGCUCAAGUGAUGUCCCAUAUUAUUGGGCCUAAAGCGUCCGUAGCUGGCCAGACAAGUCUGUUGGGAAAUCCACGCGCUCAACGCGUGGGCGUCCAGCGGAAACUGUCUGGCUUGGGGCCGGAGGACUCGAGGGGUACGUCCGGGGUAGGAGUGAAAUCCCGUAAUCCUGGACGGACCACCGAUGGCGAAAGCACUUCGAGAAAACGGAUCCGACAGUGAGGGACGAAAGCCAGGGUCUCCAACCGGAUUAGAUACCCUAGUAGUCC
Molecule: ribosomal RNA, 292 nt
Filed under: uncultured bacterium
Lineage: Bacteria
Description: partial 16S ribosomal RNA
Rfam family: Archaeal small subunit ribosomal RNA
Source: RNAcentral